GGGGAUUUAGCUCAGUGGUAGAGCGCUUGCCUAGCAAGCGCAAGGCCCUGGCAAGACCCUGGGUUCGGUCCCCAGCUCCG
This 80-nucleotide transfer RNA is filed under the name Rattus norvegicus (Norway rat). It matches the Rfam family "tRNA". Rfam says of the family: Transfer RNA (tRNA) molecules are approximately 80 nucleotides in length. Their secondary structure includes four short double-helical elements and three loops (D, anti-codon, and T loops). Further hydrogen bonds mediate the characteristic L-shaped molecular structure. tRNAs have two regions of fundamental functional importance: the anti-codon, which is responsible for specific mRNA codon recognition, and the 3' end, to which the tRNAs corresponding amino acid is attached (by aminoacyl-tRNA synthetases). tRNAs cope with the degeneracy of the genetic code in two manners: having more than one tRNA (with a specific anti-codon) for a particular amino acid; and 'wobble' base-pairing, i.e. permitting non-standard base-pairing at the 3rd anti-codon position. The record is from Rfam by way of RNAcentral. Lineage: Eukaryota; Metazoa; Chordata; Mammalia; Rodentia; Muridae.